This is a small nucleolar RNA of Hucho hucho (huchen), 200 nucleotides long. Its record names the gene SNORA74. It matches the Rfam family "Small nucleolar RNA SNORA74". From Rfam's summary of the family: U19 belongs to the H/ACA class of snoRNAs. snoRNAs bind a number of proteins (including dyskerin, Gar1p and Nop10p in the case of the H/ACA class) to form snoRNP complexes. This class are thought to guide the sites of modification of uridines to pseudouridines by forming direct base pairing interactions with substrate RNAs. Targets may include ribosomal and spliceosomal RNAs but the exact functions of many snoRNAs, including U19, are not confirmed. The record is from Ensembl. NCBI's taxonomy places the organism in Eukaryota, Metazoa, Chordata, Actinopteri, Salmoniformes, Salmonidae.
UCCAGCGGUAGUCAGCUGUACAGGCCAGCCAAUGCCUGAACUAGUGUUACACUGCUGGAAUAGGAAGAUUCUGCUAAUGUGGCCUGGUCCAGCAGAUACUGUUUUAGUGGCUGUUGGUGCUGAGCUGUAGCAGAACUGUGCCCUUCUGAGAGUGGUCUGCACCUACACACUGGGGCAGCCCUAGUAGAAGGGCUAACAAA